RNAcentral lists this ribosomal RNA (341 nucleotides) under uncultured Leptolinea sp. RNAcentral describes it as "bacterial SSU rRNA". It matches the Rfam family "Bacterial small subunit ribosomal RNA", at positions 1027 to 1382 of the family's 1533-position model. Lineage: Bacteria; Bacillati; Chloroflexota; Anaerolineae; Anaerolineales; Anaerolineaceae. The record is from RNAcentral.
GGCUUGCACAGGUGCUGCAUGGCUGUCGUCAGCUCGUGUCGUGAGAUGUUCGGUUAAGUCCGCUAACGAGCGCAACCCUCGCUGUGUGUUAUAUGUGUCACACGGGACUGCCGGUCUUAAGCCGGAGGAAGGUGGGGAUGAUGUCAAGUCAGCAUGGCCUUUAUAUCCUGGGCUACACACACGCUACAAUGGCCAACACAAUAGGUUGCUAAGCCGCGAGGUGGCGCCAAUCCAUAAAGUUGGUCUCAGUUCAGAUUGUAGGCUGCAACCCGCCUGCAUGAAGAUGGAGUUGCUAGUAAUCGCAGGUCAGCUAUACUGCGGUGAAUACGUUCCCGGGGCUU